AGAGUUUGAUCCUGGCUCAGAACGAACGCUGGCGGCGUGCUUAACACAUGCAAGUCGAGUGCGCGCCUGUAGCAAUACAGGUGGCGCACGGCGCACGGGUGCGUAACACGUGGGUAAUCUGCCCUCUGAUGGGGAAUAACUCGCCGAAAGGCGAGCUAAUUCCGCAUAAUAUUCCGAGAACCUCGGUUUUUGGACUGAAAGGCGUAAGUCGUCGGAGGAGGAGCCCGCGCACGAUUAGCUAGUUGGUAGGGUAAUGGCCUACCAAGGCUUUGAUCGUUAGCUGGUCUGAGAGGAUGGCCAGCCACACUGGAACUGAGACACGGUCCAGACUCCUACGGGAGGCAGCAGUGGGGAAUCUUGCACAAUGGGCGAAAGCCUGAUGCAGCGACGCCGCGUGGGGGAUGAAGCUUCUCGGAGUGUAAACCCCUUUCGAUCCGGACGAAUGCCCGCAAGGGAUUGACGGUACGGAUAUAAGAAGCCCCGGCUAACUACGUGCCAGCAGCCGCGGUAAUACGUAGGGGGCCAGCGUUGUUCGGAAUUACUGGGUGUAAAGGGUUCGUGGCGGUGCGGCAAGUUGGGAGUGAAAUCUCUGGGCUCAACCCANAGACGGCUUCCAAAACUGCUGUGCUUGAGUGUGA
RNAcentral lists this ribosomal RNA (638 nucleotides) under uncultured Acidobacteriota bacterium. Its description in RNAcentral is "bacterial SSU rRNA". It matches the Rfam family "Bacterial small subunit ribosomal RNA", at positions 8 to 651 of the family's 1533-position model. The record is from RNAcentral. Lineage: Bacteria; Pseudomonadati; Acidobacteriota.